Molecule: ribosomal RNA, 120 nt
Filed under: Carassius auratus (goldfish)
Lineage: Eukaryota; Metazoa; Chordata; Actinopteri; Cypriniformes; Cyprinidae
Source: RNAcentral
GCUUACGGCCAUACCAACCUGGCUAUGCCCGAUCUCGGUCUGAUCUCGGAAGCUAAGCAGGUUUGGGCCUGGUUAGUACUUGGAUGGGAGACCGCCUGGGAAUACCAGGUGCUGUAAGCU